UUUGUUGGAGUUGUAAUGAAUUGCGCUGCAGAGCUUAAGCUUCUUCUAGGAGCUCUUUUAAUUCUUUGCAGUCUAGCUACUCUUCUACAGUUUCUUCCUUCUCGUUUUUCUAUCUCCACCUCUGAUCUCCGCUUCUGUAUCUCCAGAAUCACCACCACCACCACUACUACUACCACCACCACCACCUCCUCCUCCAUCGCUCACCCUGAAACGCCACUAAAUUCCUCUCUUGCUACUCCUCCUAACCCACUACCCUCCCCUGCUCAAACAGGCGAACAAGUUCUUGACAAUGGGAUUAUUAAG
Molecule: long non-coding RNA, 303 nt
Filed under: Manihot esculenta (cassava)
Lineage: Eukaryota; Viridiplantae; Streptophyta; Magnoliopsida; Malpighiales; Euphorbiaceae
Description: long non-coding RNA (MESC_LNC001512)
Source: RNAcentral